AUUGAACGCUGGCGGCAGGCCUAACACAUGCAAGUCGAGCGGAUGAAGGGAGCUUGCUCCUGGAUUCAGCGGCGGACGGGUGAGUAAUGCCUAGGAAUCUGCCUGGUAGUGGGGGAUAACGUCCGGAAACGGGCGCUAAUACCGCCUACGUCCUGAGGGAGAAAGGGGGGGAUCUUCGGACCUCACGCUAUCAGAUGAGCCUAGGUCGGAUUAGCUAGUUGGUGGGGUAAAGGCCUACCAAGGCGACGAUCCGUAACUGGUCUGAGAGGAUGAUCAGUCACACUGGAACUGAGACACGGUCCAGACUCCUACGGGAGGCAGCAGUGGGGAAUAUUGGACAAUGGGCGAAAGCCUGAUCCAGCCAUGCCGCGUGUGUGAAGAAGGUCUUCGGAUUGUAAAGCACUUUAAGUUGGGAGGAAGGGCAGUAAGUUAAUACCUUGCUGUUUUGACGUUACCAACAGAAUAAGCACCGGCUAACUUCGUG
RNAcentral lists this ribosomal RNA (484 nucleotides) under uncultured bacterium. Its description in RNAcentral is "partial 16S ribosomal RNA". It matches the Rfam family "Bacterial small subunit ribosomal RNA", at positions 30 to 507 of the family's 1533-position model. The record is from RNAcentral.